GGUCAGCUGACACAUCCUGGCCAAUCUCCAGCAGACCCUCCCUCCCAGACCCUCCUACUUCCUGGACAGCAUCCAUGUUGAAGCUGCCUUCAACAUGGAUGCUGUCCAGGAGGUGGGAGGGUCUGGGAGGGAGGGUCUGCCGGAGAUUGGCAGGGGUGUGUCAGCUG
This 167-nucleotide microRNA precursor is filed under the name Pelobates cultripes (western spadefoot toad). Lineage: Eukaryota; Metazoa; Chordata; Amphibia; Anura; Pelobatidae. The record is from RNAcentral.